CAGAAGCGAACGAGCUCUCAUCCCUUUCAGGAUCGACGCCGUUCGCAGAGAGCCAUCGAUUUCAGCAUCCAUGGAGACUCUGCUUUCGAGCUUCGGCUGCCGUAAGAACUCAGGUCGAUUUCAGGUCCUCGAGCUAAAAUCACGCUCCUCGGAUGCUCUACUUCCGAUCCCCAGUCUGCAAAGUUCACUCAGUUUUUUUGAAAAAUUCCAGCUCGGAUUCCCGUUAGCUUUAUGCUCUGUCGAGUUUUAUGUCACCGCUUAAUGCUUCUGCGCGUUUCGACGUUAGUCCUGGAGGCAAUGCUUUUGAAGCUGGUUAUUUAGGUGAUGGCAAGCUUUCUUUCGACGCCCAAGGGGGCCUGGGGAACGAAAGUGUCCUAGGACAACGCGUCACUAUCAAUUCUAUCCAUUUGUCUUUGUACGUUAGAUUAUGUUCAUCAAAGCCGUGGGCAAGAGACAUAGUUCUGAUGUUAUGUUUCUCAUGUGCUACGUUGUUGAGCUUGCUGUCAUAGUCCCCAUGUUUCAGCUGUCAAGAUGUAUCUUAGAGGAACUUCAUUGUUGAGUCUGUUGAUGAAUACUAUCAGGUUAAAUUCUGUGAGAUUUUGUGGGAUUAUUACCAACUGUUUUAAAAAGUUAAGCUGUUGGAUGAAGGUAUAUUUUAAUUUUUAGAUAAUCUAUCAAUCUCCUCACACGUAGGCUGGACUUUUUGACCUAAGCCUAUAGCAUGAAAAUAUGUAAUUUUUUUUUCUGUAUAUGAAAAUAUAUGAUUGGGGAGGCACAUUAACGUGGUUUAAUAUUUAUAUUGUAUCAACUUCUACACUCUUCACUGUUCAGAGAUUGGCUAUAUAUACGUAGUUUUAAUUUUCUGGAUUUCCCAAGAACUCUUCACUUCAGAAUUGAUUUUUAUAGAAGUUUGCUUGUCAUUUUGUCUACAUGAUUUGGAAAGAAUGGAUGGCGUUCACGAGGAUGAGAUUGCAAGAACGCUGCCUUAGAUGAGACAAAAUUUGACUGGAUAAGAAGAGGAUUGAGAAGAAUCUAGAAGAAAACUUGUUGAAUAGCCACAUAACUGGUUAAAUCACAAGAGCACGAGGAAUCUUAGGAUCAAACGGCCGGAAGAAGGCAAGUCUAUUUCCCCACAUCAUACCUUUUUUUUUGGAAGGGACAACUAAUAAGUCCAUAUCUGUUAAGGUCUUUAGAUUUCUUAUUGUUGUGUAUAAUCAAUGUCCUAUGCAAGUUAUCUGUUAGCAGAACUUAGCUGAACUACUUCAUUGAUAAAAAGUUUUUAGUCUCUCUUUUUUCAAUUGACUCCACUUCAUUGCUUCAUUGAGGAGAUCUUGCGAUUUGUAGACACCACCCAGCUGCUCUGCUUCACCGUGAUGUAUUCUAUCCAAUCAAGAGCAGAAGAGUUUGGCACAAUUGUCACCUCACAGAAAUAUCUUGACUUCUUGGACAACACAACAAGAAUUGCUCAUUCUUAGAUGCAGUUGGUGAUAGCAUUUGUCGCCUUUUCAAAUAUGGACAUCAGUGAGAUGUCAACGAAUGUCUUUCUUUUUCAAGUACUGAAAUCAAAUCAAUCAAGCAUCAAUCUGAAGUAUGGAAGAUGAAUCAGGGCACGAAAGUCAUGCCCUCCUGCCCAUUAUGUGCUUCAUUCUUGCAAGUGUCUAAUAUAUGCCAAAUCAUUAAGUUCCUGGAAGUCAAUCAUGGAAUUUGGUGGAAUCAUGUUGAAGAUGUUCUCCUGAUACUGGAUGUGGCUGUACCCAUUUGCAUCAUCACCAGCUCCAGCGUUGCCAAUCAAAUCCUUGUUGCGUCCAUUUUUGUUUUGCUUCCUGCUGUCCUUAGUGCAAAUGUUAUGCUCAUUCUACUCAAAAGCUUUCCUUUUUAAUGUGUUGACACAAUUGCUUGUUGGAUACACAGUACUUGGAGAAUCUAUAUUAUCAGAACUUUCAUAAUAAACUGAGUUUAUAUUGUUACCAUUCCUACUGCCUUCAACACUUAUAUUAGAGAUGGCUUCCAUGGCGGGUGGAGCUUUCCCAGCCAGCAGGUAUGCUAUAAGUUGGCAAUCUUUGAACAGAUGAUCCAUGCUCAUAUGAGGAUUGAAGUAUGUGCAUGUAGGUUGUGCUGCCUCGGUCUGUAGUGAGUACCUCGGUGCUUCAGGUGAUUGUCUAUCUUGGUUUUGAACAUUCUUUUUAGGUACCUUUGUUUUUUGUCGCACUCUGCAUAGCACCCAAUCAUCCAGCUGCACCAACAAAAGGCAAUAUUUGUUUCACUCUUCUAAUGAUACGUGAUAGAAAAUAUAGUUGAACAUUAACUUCUUUGUUGGCCGAGCCAUAGAGUAGCAUGAUA
This is a long non-coding RNA of Eucalyptus grandis, 2340 nucleotides long. RefSeq lists it as uncharacterized. The transcript is spliced from 3 exons. Lineage: Eukaryota; Viridiplantae; Streptophyta; Magnoliopsida; Myrtales; Myrtaceae. The record is from RefSeq and is a predicted model, not a curated record.